GACGAACGCUGGCGGCGUGCUUAACACAUGCAAGUCGAACGGAAAGGCCCUGCUUUUGUGGGGUGCUCGAGUGGCGAACGGGUGAGUAACACGUGAGUAACCUGCCCUUGACUUUGGGAUAACUUCAGGAAACUGGGGCUAAUACCGGAUAGGAGCUCCUGCUGCAUGGUGGGGGUUGGAAAGUUUCGGCGGUUGGGGAUGGACUCGCGGCUUAUCAGCUUGUUGGUGGGGUAGUGGCUUACCAAGGCUUUGACGGGUAGCCGGCCUGAGAGGGUGACCGGCCACGUUGGGACUGAGGUACGGCCCAGACUCCUACGGGAGGCAGCAGUGGGGAAUAUUGCACAAUAGGCGGAAGCCUGAUGCAGCAACGCCGCGUGCGGGAUGACGGCCCUCGGGUUGUAAACCGCUUUCGCCUGUGACGAAGCGUGAGUGACGGUAAUGGGUAAAGAAGCACCGGCUAACUACGUG
This 468-nucleotide ribosomal RNA is filed under the name uncultured bacterium. Its description in RNAcentral is "partial 16S ribosomal RNA". It matches the Rfam family "Bacterial small subunit ribosomal RNA", at positions 28 to 507 of the family's 1533-position model. The record is from RNAcentral.